RNAcentral lists this ribosomal RNA (163 nucleotides) under uncultured bacterium. RNAcentral's name for it is "partial 16S rRNA". It matches the Rfam family "Bacterial small subunit ribosomal RNA", at positions 355 to 511 of the family's 1533-position model. The record is from RNAcentral.
UAGGGAAUCUUCCACAAUGGACGCAAGUCUGAUGGAGCAACGCCGCGUGAGUGAAGAAGGUCUUCGGAUCGUAAACUCUGUUGUUAGAGAAGAACACGAGUGAGAGUAACUGUUCAUUCGAUGACGGUAUCUAACCAGCAAGUCACGGCUAACUACGCGCCAG